Long non-coding RNA from Heterocephalus glaber (naked mole-rat), 1564 nucleotides. The record is from Ensembl. Lineage: Eukaryota; Metazoa; Chordata; Mammalia; Rodentia; Bathyergidae.
GGCUGCAGAACCACUGAGCUAAAUCCUCAGCCCUCGCCCCUCUUUUUUUGAGACAGGGGCUUGCUAAAUUGCAAGGGCUAGGGCCGGGGAUGUAGCUCAGUGGUUCUGCAGCCUGCCUCACAAGCACAAAGUCCCGAGUUCGAUCCCCGGUACCAUAAAUUGCCCAGGCUGAGCUCGCGCUUGCAACCCUCCAGCCUCAGCCUAACAAGUAGCUGGAUGAUUGGCUGGGGCCGCCACGACCUGCUUAGGGGUGCAGUUCUGAGCGCCCACCCUGGAGGGGUCUGUGCUCCCUGCUGAAGGAGUCACGGCCCACAGCCCAGAGAGGCCGAGCUGCUUGGCCAGGGUUGACCAGCACUGAGUGGAAGGCUGCUCCUGGCCCUGAGCCCACCUCCCUCCUCACAGUGACCCCACUCCCAGGGCCACAGCUGCAGGACGUCACCCCGACCGCCCGCCUGAUAGGCUCCGAGUGCUCUGCGGUCUCGUGGAACAUCUGGGCCCCCCAGUCCUGGCCCGCAGAGCCUGCCCAGCUGCGCCUCUGAGCCACACCCAGAGGCCUCCCGGCUCUGCCAGGGAGACUGGAAAUUUCUGCUCAGCAGCCCGGUUGGGGUGGAUUUCGACACCACUCAGCGGGGGAUGGGGGAGCGGGUGGGCCGCCAGACAGGCUCUGCAUUCCUGAGGCUCCGAUUCCGGGCACUGGGAGGGGUCUUCACUAGGCCUAUGUGAGUCCCUCAGAAAUAACAGUAACAAAGCCCCCACAGUGGUCCCCCAGGCACCCUGGGAGGCUGAGGCAGGAGGGUUGCAAGUUCUGCCCCAGCACAGUCAAUUCAGCCACUUAGCAAGACCCUGUCUCAAAAUAAAAACUAAUAAUUUUUAAAGAGGCUCUGGGUUCAGUCUUCAGUAUGGCAAAACCAAACAUGGUAACAAAACAGCCUGAAGAACCUUCCAGUGUCCAGGGAACUCAGCCCUAUCACCAGGCCACAGUGUGCAUGACACCCACAGAUCCAGCUAUGUGUUGGGGAGCAGGCUGGGCUGGAAGGGAGGCAGCGCUGGGGUGGGGGCCCAAAGAAAACAGAGGUUCAGCCCUGGGCGGCUUGGCCAGCACUUUGGGCAGCAGAGGGGGAGGCGGCCCUCCCGGGAUACCGGGGACCCCAAGGACUGGGGUAGGACCCUCUCCCCGACCUCUCCCUGACCCCGGGGCUGGGGGCGCCCGGCCAGAUUCAGCCAGGACUAAGCGCCCCAUUAUGCACCCAGGGCCAAACGCAAAGAGGAGCGACGGGACCCCAGGCCCGGGCGGGCGAGGCCCUCCCUGGAAAUGGAUCUAGCGAUCCCUUCCCGGCUGGGGCGUGGGAGCUCGGGGAGCACCCGGUUAAGAAGCCUGGGGGCCGAGGGGACCAAGCCAGUCCCCCUCCGCAGGGCAGGGCGCGGCGCCCGGUUCAGCGGAAAGGAAUGCGGCGCUCGGGGGGAGGCCGAGGCAGCGCACACCCUCCGCCCCCGCGAGUCCGGAGCUGCGGUCUUGCAGGCGAUCGAGCCCGGGAUCAGAGCCUCUCCCGGCCCGAAGUGGGGG